UACGAAGGGACCUAGCGUUGUUCGGAAUUACUGGGCGUAAAGGGCGCGUAGGCGGUUUUUUAAGUCAGAUGUGAAAGCCCUGGGCUUAACCUAGGAAUGGCAUUUGAUACUGGGAGACUAGAAUAUGAGAGGGGAUAGUGGAAUUGCGAGUGUAGAGGUGAAAUUCGUAGAUAUUCGCAGGAACACCAAUGGCGAAGGCAGCUAUCUGGUUCAAUAUUGACGCUGAGGCGCGAAAGCGUGGGGAGCAAACAGG
This 253-nucleotide ribosomal RNA is filed under the name uncultured bacterium. RNAcentral describes it as "partial 16S ribosomal RNA". It matches the Rfam family "Bacterial small subunit ribosomal RNA", at positions 524 to 776 of the family's 1533-position model. The record is from RNAcentral.